RNAcentral lists this ribosomal RNA (516 nucleotides) under Caltoris cormasa. Its description in RNAcentral is "partial 16S ribosomal RNA". The stretch from base 389 to 516 matches the Rfam family "Bacterial large subunit ribosomal RNA", at positions 2473 to 2600 of the family's 2925-position model. Lineage: Eukaryota; Metazoa; Arthropoda; Insecta; Lepidoptera; Hesperiidae. The record is from RNAcentral.
GUCUUUUUGAAAAUAAUUUAAAGUCAAAUCUGCCCACUGAUAAAAUAUUAAAGGGCUGCAGUAUAUUGACUGUACAAAGGUAGCAUAAUAAUUAGUCUUUUAAUUGAAGACUUGUAUGAAGGAUUUAAUGAAAUAUAGACUGUCUCUUUUUUAUAAUUAGAAUUUAAUUUUUUAGUAAAAAAGCUAAAAUUAAUUUAAAAGACGAGAAGACCCUAUAGAGUUUUAUAAUUAAAUUUAAUUAUAUAUUUAUGUUUAAUUUUGAAAUUAAUUAAUUUAAUUAUUUUAUUGGGGUGAUAGAAAAAUUAAAAUAACUUUUUUUUUAAAUUUAAACAUUAAUUAAUGGUUAUAUGAUCCAUAAAUUAUGAUUAUAAGAAAAAAUUACCUUAGGGAUAACAGCGUAAUUUUUUUUUUUAGUUCUUAUAAGAAAAAAAGUUUGCGACCUCGAUGUUGGAUUAAGAUAAAAUUUAAAUGCAGAAGUUUAAAAUUUUUGAUCUGUUCGAUCAUUAAAAUCUUACA